CUUUUGUAUAAGCACUUAGUUAGUCCAUAUAUACAGGGUUGAUCUUAUCUAGUGGUACACAUACAUAUAUGUAUAUGUAUUUAAGUCAUAAAUAAAUCCAGCCAUCCUUUGUGCAUAAACAAACUAAUAUACACAUUUCGUCAUUUCGCGUGAGCAAAAAGCUAAAAGGCAGUGCAUCUCAGAUCUCCUAGAUGUUGAAGUUGAGGUGGCGGGGAUUAUGGACAUUGUGAAAUGUUCUAGAAGUCUGAUUUUCAAGAAGAGCAAUGAUUGAGUAGAGCUCUCCAGGAAAGCAGGAAGAGGGGGGCAUAAUUUAUUGAAGGAACCAGAGUUUCCGUCCAGCUUUGAGAAGAAGAUCAAGGAAGACCCAACCAAAUCUAUGAAUCGCCUCGACAACGACUUUUCCGUGGCUUCUAGAACCAUCAAACGAGCCAUGAAGGUUGAAUUAAGAUUUUUCUCAUACACGAGAACCCUACACCACCUUUUAACUGGUCUUGAAGAACCUCCUGAGUUCGCGUUUUACUGCUCAAGCCUGUAUAUAUAGACAACUAUUUUAUAGGCAUAUAUCCCUCAAUUAUAGGCUUUGUAUUCCAAUUUUUGUGUUUUGGUAAUAUGCCCAAGAAUGUUAACCAUAGUUUAAAACCUUCAUUUGAUUUAUGGCACUUAAUUCGGCUCCGAUAUGGUCUGUCAAAUAGAGUCCAUCAAUCAUUACUCAUUCUUUAAUUGUGACAUUGAAUUUUACAUAUUAAGUCUUAAGUAUGUCUCAAUUGCUCAUUGUCUCUAACGUUUGGUGUCAAUAUCCUAUCAGGGUCAGCAUGAAUGCAGUACACAUUAUAUUGUUCUAUCAUUUAACCUCCAAAAUACAUUUGAUUUCACAAUCUACAAACAAAAACAUCACGGAUUGUUUUCUAAAAAGAAAAGCCCUAUAAAAACUAUAAAACAUUAUAGACUAUAAAAUGGAGCCUCAGCCUAACUCUUGCUCGUUAUUUGAGUUCUCCCGGUCUUAUUGUUGGGUUUUUACUUGUGUUACUGUAAGUUUCUGAAACACUUUGUAAAUCUGUGAUGUAUUCUAAUUAUUAUUUAAAUUGCGUAUUAUUCCAUGUUCAUUACUAUCUUGUCUAAAUAAACGACACAUUUACAUUUA
This 1141-nucleotide long non-coding RNA is filed under the name Lepeophtheirus salmonis (salmon louse). RNAcentral describes it as "uncharacterized LOC121119111". The record is from RNAcentral. Lineage: Eukaryota; Metazoa; Arthropoda; Copepoda; Siphonostomatoida; Caligidae.